RNAcentral lists this transfer RNA (73 nucleotides) under Gastrodia menghaiensis. Its description in RNAcentral is "tRNA-Phe". Lineage: Eukaryota; Viridiplantae; Streptophyta; Magnoliopsida; Asparagales; Orchidaceae. The record is from RNAcentral. RNAcentral also lists the same sequence under 4 other names.
AGGUCUUUAAGAAAGUGUAAAGGCGAAGAAGAGAUUUUGUUUGUUUGUAGAAGGCUCGCUUUCGCAGGGACAA